Molecule: ribosomal RNA, 468 nt
Filed under: uncultured bacterium
Lineage: Bacteria
Description: partial 16S ribosomal RNA
Rfam family: Bacterial small subunit ribosomal RNA
Source: RNAcentral
GACGAACGCUGGCGGCGUGCUUAACACAUGCAAGUCGAACGGAAAGGCCCUGCUUUUGUGGGGUGCUCGAGUGGCGAACGGGUGAGUAACACGUGAGUAACCUGCCCUUGACUUUGGGAUAACUUCAGGAAACUGGGGCUAAUACCGGAUAGGAGCUCCUGCUGCAUGGUGGGGGUUGGAAAGUUUCGGCGGUUGGGGAUGGACUCGCGGCUUAUCAGCUGGUUGGUGGGGUAGUGGCUUACCAAGGCUUUGACGGGUAGCCGGCCUGAGAGGGUGACCGGCCACAAUGGGACUGCGAUACGGCCCAGACUCCUACGGGAGGCAGCAGUGGGGAAUAUUGCAGAAUGGGCGGAAGCCUGAUGCAGCAACGCCGCGUGCGGGAUGACGGCUUUCGGGUUGUAAACCGCUUUCGCAUGUGACGAAGCGUGAGUGACGGUAAUGGGUAAAGAAGCACCGGCUAACUACGUG